GAUGAACGCUGGCGGCGUGCCUAAUACAUGCAAGUCGAGCGCAGGAAGCCGUCUGAACCCUUCGGGGGGACGACGGUGGAAUGAGCGGCGGACGGGUGAGUAACACGUAAAGAACCUGCCCAUAGGUCUGGGAUAACCACGAGAAAUCGGGGCUAAUACCGGAUGUGUCAUCGGACCGCAUGGUCCGCUGAUGAAAGGCGCUUCGGCGUCGCCCAUGGAUGGCUUUGCGGUGCAUUAGCUAGUUGGUGGGGUAACGGCCCACCAAGGCGACGAUGGAUAGCCGACCUGAGAGGGUGAUCGGCCACACUGGGACUGAGACACGGCCCAGACUCCUACAGGAGGCAGCAGUAGGGAAUCUCCCACAAUGGACGAAAGUCUGAUGGAGCAACGCCGCGUGAACGAUGAAGGCUUUCGGGUCGUAAAGUUCUGUUGUAAGGGAAGAACAAGUGCCGCAGGCAAUGGCGGCACCUUGACGGUACCUUGCGAGAAAGCCACGGCUAACUACGUGCCAGCCGCCGCGGUAA
This 524-nucleotide ribosomal RNA is filed under the name uncultured bacterium. RNAcentral describes it as "partial 16S ribosomal RNA". It matches the Rfam family "Bacterial small subunit ribosomal RNA", at positions 28 to 523 of the family's 1533-position model. The record is from RNAcentral.